RNAcentral lists this signal recognition particle RNA (96 nucleotides) under Oleiphilus messinensis. RNAcentral's name for it is "Bacterial small signal recognition particle RNA". It matches the Rfam family "Bacterial small signal recognition particle RNA". Rfam says of the family: The signal recognition particle (SRP) is a universally conserved ribonucleoprotein involved in the co-translational targeting of proteins to membranes. Archaeal SRP consists of a 7S RNA and homologues of the eukaryotic SRP19 and SRP54 proteins. Lineage: Bacteria; Pseudomonadati; Pseudomonadota; Gammaproteobacteria; Oceanospirillales; Oleiphilaceae. The record is from Rfam by way of RNAcentral.
UGCCGGUCCUCCCGCAACAUGAAACCGUGAACCCGGUCAGGUCCGGAAGGAAGCAGCCGUAGCGGUGGACUGUGUGCCGGGAUGUGGCUGGCAGAA